Molecule: long non-coding RNA, 2180 nt
Filed under: Oreochromis niloticus (Nile tilapia)
Lineage: Eukaryota; Metazoa; Chordata; Actinopteri; Cichliformes; Cichlidae
Description: lncRNA (ENSONIG00000029184.1)
Source: RNAcentral
AUGAAGUACACCCAAGUUUAUCUGCUUGUCACUGGUACCGCAGCUGCAUUGAUGGUUCUUUGCCGUGGACGGGACAUCAACUGCAGUGUUACUGAAGAUGCUUAUGGGACCCUUUACACUGUUCCAGAUUUCCAGGCAACCACAUGUAUCUACUCCUGGAUGAAUAGUACUGGUCAUGUGCUGGUGAAUAAUAAGGAGAAGGUGACUGGCCUGGUGGCAAACAGCAGUAUCAGGACUCUUCUCACCCGUGCAUGUUUGAAGCAGGUCAACUACAGUCGUGCCUGCGUCUCUGAGGGCAUACAACACACAACCAGUUGUUUCACUGGCUGCAGUGUAACUUCUAACCCUCAGAAGAGUGAAGGUACACCUUCUCACCGCUGGAGUACACUUAUCACCGUCUUUAUCAUGGCGCUUUUACAUCUUCAGUGUUUGUCUGCAAUCAGCUAGAAGAUGGGUCCUCCAGUUUACCAGCUUUAACCCACAUGGCAGCAUGAUCUAAAAUCCCUGUCUUGGUUUUGUUCCUACAUCAUUUGUUCCAGAAGAGAGUUUUAUAUAAACAAAGAAAUUAUUUUUCUUUUUCCCUCAACAUUUCAAAGCUAGGAGAUCACACAUUGAUUGGUCAGUUCCCACAGUAUGGGGUUCACUUGGAAGAGUGGGUUGCUGAGGCCAGAAUGAUUAUCAGCCUUCUACUUACAGGGUGGUGGGUGUUGGAGGACAACUGCUGAUCCUAGUUAAAGCAAUCAACGUGUAAAGAGUACCUGAUUUGCUCUGGCCUUGGAAUGUAUGUUUUAUCCCUGUUGCAAGUGGUACACUGAACUGUUUUGUCCUUCAUUAUUUUAUGAUUGUACUAAUGAAAUAUAUUUUACAAUUAUUUUGGUUGUCAUCUUUUGCCUACAGCUGAGAUGGUUGCUCAUACCUAGAAUCUGUGUAUGUUUCAGCUGUGCGGGAAAAUCCCGGUAGUUCAGCAAUACUCAGACCAGCAUGUCUGGCACCAACAGCCAUCCCGUAUUCAAAGUCACUUAACCUGCCCUUCUUCACCCAUUCUGAUGCUGCGUUUCAGCUUCAGCAGGUCAUCUUGAGUAUGUUUACACAUCUAUGGAUUGGCUCUAAAUUGAAAAGGUUAUCAUAAUAAUGAAAUAAUCUACUGCACCUAAGCUUUUACAGCUACAUUAGUGGUUCUGUAAGGCAGUCUUCACUCAUUGUUGUGGUAACUGGCAUUAAAUAAGGACAAAUUAAAUUUUUGGAAAAGCCUGACAGGCAUAAUAAAUCACAAUAUUCCCUGAAAACAAUCCACAACGACAAAGUAAACAGGCAGAAACAAAAAAACAAAACAACAUUCGGGGAUGUUCAAGUUCAUAUGUGCGUGAAGGCAGACAGGCCCAUGAGACUUUAGUUUAAGAAGCAUUCUCAAAGACACACCACACAAUAUCACAUGGCAGCUUCAGGAAAUGGUAAACACUGCUGAGUAAAAUACAUUAACUCACUAAGUGAUUAUUUGAGAUCAGUUCAUUUUUGGCAACUUUUCAAAUGGAAGCGCUGCAAUUUCAGAUCCCUUUGUAUGUUAUACACGAGCUCAGUCUAAUUUUCAGUGAGGGUAUGGUGUCAUAGGGUCCUGCCACAGUACGCUUCCUCUUCAUGUUCACAUCAAUUCUCCGAAAUGCUUCAGUUACACUAAAUUACCUUGUCAGCAGCAUGUUAUGGACAGCUGCCAUGUCCUCGAACCUCAAAACAAACAAGCUAAAAAGGAAGUUAUGCAAAGUUACUCAAAACAACUGUAGUUAGAUGUGUCACUAAAAUGACUUAUGCUCCUGACUUCUUAAAAAAAAAAAAAACAUGACAUUUGACUUCCCUGGAAAAAGCCUGGUGAUCAUUUUUGAGGUUCUGGAAAAAUGACUCACCUGUAGCUCAGGUUGAGUUUGUGUGUAGUUCAGAAGUAAAAGUAAGGACUCUGAAAUAUUUCAAACUGGCAGCAUAACAAUCAACACCUCUGAGAGUCUUAGACAAGCCCUUUUUAGUCAGUGGGUUUGCAAAAGGAUUAGAAUAAUCAGUUGGUUAAAGUGACAGGUUUCUGACACGGGUCACUUUUUGGUGUACUCCAUUUUUGGACAUUUUAUUAUGCCUGAAGGGAGCAUGGCUGCAGAUUGACUUUUAAAUUAGACUUCAAACUUCAAGUCUUGCUG